CCCAAAACGCUAUGCUAAGACAUAUCUUAAAGAGAAGCGACACUUGUCUCUUCAGGUGAUGGGCAAGGAGUGGCCGGUGUGGUUUCGUGAAAACAGUUACGAUAAAAGGCUCGGAAAUGGAUGGAAACGGUUUGUAGAAGACAACAAUCUGAAGAUGGGUGAUAUGUGCCUCUUUGAGCUGUUGAGAGAUGAGAGAACCAUGGAGGUACAUAUCAUCCCCGCCGCAAACGAUGCCAAUUAUCGGGCAGGUCCCCAGAAUGGUACACACCACCAUGCAUUUACACGCCACCACGUCCCCCAUGAUGCCAGACCACCUCGCCCACAGUUAACUGCAAACCAGCAUCCAAUAUAUAUUGACAGUCCCCCAGCAGAAAAAUAAAAUGGAAUGAACAAGGAAUGGAGGCAUAUGCAGGUUCAGCUCAUCAACGACGCUACUGCACAGUUCUGUAACCUUUGUUCCAAACGAUACCAAAAUAUUUUUAUCUAUUCAAAUCUUAUUAUCCUUCAAAAUCUUUGUCUUUUUAUUCCUCUUGUAUAUUCCAGCUUAAGUAUCUUCCUUAUCCUAAAAGACCGUGCUAAGAGACAAUGCGUUAACUCAAAUAAAAAGCAGCUCACGGGGCCUCGGUUGUCACGAAGACAGUGAAACAACAAAUGCUAAGGCCGUCUAUUUUUACUGUAACAAACAAACACUCAGUCUCCAAGAGCUGGAUUAGUACUGCUGGACGAGCUCUCUCCGCUCACCGCCUGGUCACAUCCUACCAGCAGAGUAGCAGGACCAAGCGGAAGGCAGCGUGAAGAGGAACAAAGCUGACAAGAUAAGCAAGAUAUUCCCAGAAGAACUUGUGUGGCGUUUCAAAUGUGAGAUCCCAGGAGAGAUCAAGCUAGUAAGCCGAAAGGGUUACAGUCAUGCUAUUGUGGUUGCCAAGAACCAAGAAAAGCUUGUCUUUACAGUGGGUUGGAGGCAGUUUGUUGGACAGUAUGAUCUACAGAUGGGUGAUUCCUUAAUAUUAAAAUACAAUGGGAACUGCCAGUUUGAUGUCAUAAUCUUUGAUAAGCUUGGCCGUGAAAAAGCAUUAUCAGUUGUUGUGGAUCCUUUUUUGCCUCAGGUCCAAGAAAAUCCCAACAAGGCACAUGAAAUCGGGUGAAAUACCAGUCUUCACUAUUCAUGCCUUCAUUUCCUGGUACCAAAUUUCACUUCGAAUGGAUUUUGCACUGCAGAUCUUCUAAAAAGAUAGAUGUGCCUUCUGAAAGAUACAAAAGCUGGACUGAAUAUCACUACACAAAUUUGGAUGAUGAAAAGAAAUAUUUCUUAAUGGUUAUGAUGGGUGAUUUUCAACAUGAGAUGGUAAAUUUAUAUCCAAAUGCAGUAACACUCCUUUUUAUCUGUUACUUCGGUGUUUUUCUGUAGACCAACGAUUUUCUACUUUCUACUUUAGAUUAUGUGGAGAUAUAUAAUGCUUUAGAGACAUAUACACAAUUAUAUGUAGUCUUUGCAACUUUUGCUCAUGUCUCAUGUUAAUUUGAUGCCUGGAUUGAAUCCAGCAUGGUAGCACAUUCAGGUAUAUUCAUUUGCACAAAAUUUCCUCAUAGUUCAAAUUGUACCAUGCUGUCAGGUAUAUUGAACAGACAAAUUCACUUUGAUUAUAGAGACUAUAUUUUUUUUAUCCUGGUUACGGUUCAUUCAAACAAAAAUAUUGGUUGUUUUCUCCAGAUCAUCUCAGAAGAAUUUGUUCGGCGUUUCAAGGGCGAGUUCCCAAGAGAGAUGAUACUUGAAACAAAAAAUCGUUGCAGUUACAUUAUUGCAGUUGCCAAGAACCAAGAAAAGCUUGUCCUUACAGUGGGAUGGGGCAUAUUUGUUAAAACCUUUGGUCUAGAGAUGGGUGACACCAUAUUAUUCAGAUACAAUGGAAACUCCCAGUUUAGUGUCAUAAUCUUUGAUACACUUGGCUAUGAGAAGGCACUUUCAGUUGUGGAUCUUUUGCGCCUCUUGUGCAAGAAAGGCGCACAACUGUGAAAAGUUCUCAUUUA
Non-coding RNA from Aegilops tauschii subsp. strangulata, 2028 nucleotides. The record is from RefSeq and is a predicted model, not a curated record. Lineage: Eukaryota; Viridiplantae; Streptophyta; Magnoliopsida; Poales; Poaceae.